AGAGUUUGAUCAUGGCUCAGGAUGAACGCUAGCUACAGGCUUAACACAUGCAAGUCGAGGGGCAGCAUGGUCUUAGCUUGCUAAGACUGAUGGCGACCGGCGCACGGGUGAGUAACACGUAUCCAACCUGCCGUCUACUCUUGGACAGCCUUCUGAAAGGAAGAUUAAUACAAGAUGGCAUCAUGAGUCCGCAUGUUCACAUGAUUAAAGGUAUUCCGGUAGACGAUGGGGGUGCGUUCCAUUAGAUAGUAGGCGGGGUAACGGCCACCUAGUCUUCGAUGGAUAGGGGUUCUGAGAGGAAGGUCCCCCANAUUGGAACUGAGACACGGUCCAAACUCCGUACGGGAGGCA
This 351-nucleotide ribosomal RNA is filed under the name uncultured bacterium. RNAcentral's name for it is "bacterial SSU rRNA". It matches the Rfam family "Bacterial small subunit ribosomal RNA", at positions 8 to 350 of the family's 1533-position model. The record is from RNAcentral.